ACUCAAAUGAAUUGACGGGGGCUCACACAAGCGGUGGAGCAUGUUGCUUAAUUCGAGGCAACGCGAAGAACCUUACCUGGGCUUGACAUGUACGGAUUAACUCCUUGAAAGAGGAGCCACACCCUCUGGGUGGAACGUGCACAGGUGCUGCAUGGCUGUCGUCAGCUCGUGCUGUGAAGUGUCGGGUUAAGUCCCUUAACGAGCGCAACCCCUGUCGUUAGUUGCUCACGCGUAAUGGCGAGUACUCUAGCGAGACUGCCGGUGUCAAACCGGAGGAAGGCGGGGAUGACGUCAAGUCCUCAUGGCCUUUAUGCCCAGGGAUGCAAACGUGCUACAAUGGCGCGCACAGAGCGAUGCAAGGCCGCGAGGCGGAGCAAAUCGCAAAAAACGCGCCCCAGUUCGGAUUGCAGGCUGCAACUCGCCUGCAUGAAGUCGGAAUCGCUAGUAAUCGGAGAUCAGCUACGCUCCGGUGAAUGUGUUCCUGAGCCUUGUACACACCGCCCGU
RNAcentral lists this ribosomal RNA (505 nucleotides) under uncultured bacterium. RNAcentral's name for it is "partial 16S ribosomal RNA". It matches the Rfam family "Bacterial small subunit ribosomal RNA", at positions 899 to 1397 of the family's 1533-position model. The record is from RNAcentral.